Non-coding RNA from Phthorimaea operculella (potato tuberworm), 87 nucleotides. Lineage: Eukaryota; Metazoa; Arthropoda; Insecta; Lepidoptera; Gelechiidae. The record is from the annotation of a GenBank genome assembly.
ACCGCGAUAGCCCAGUUAGUAGUGGCGUCGGCAGUACAGAUGCCGCAGGAUGUACAGGAGUCGCAGGUUCAAAUCCUGCCUGCGGUG